This 1255-nucleotide long non-coding RNA is filed under the name Brassica napus (rape). RNAcentral's name for it is "long non-coding RNA (BNAP_LNC022039)". The record is from RNAcentral. Lineage: Eukaryota; Viridiplantae; Streptophyta; Magnoliopsida; Brassicales; Brassicaceae.
GGGUUUGUUGUCUCCAUCUUGAACUUGGGCUGAAGUGUCUGAAGCCCACAGAGAAGUGGAACAGGCCUCCAGAGUAUUUGUUGUACUGAGGCCCACGUCAGCUUCUAGGUUUUGUUUCAUAAAACCUGAGUAUAAAAGAAGAUCGCGUUGGUGACUUGAGGUGCGCGGCAACAACAACAGAUUGAGAGGUUCAGGUGAAAGAGCAAAUUGUCUUGGUUGAGAGAUCGUUUGUGUUUACCUGAAGGCUAAGUUCAAUCAGAAGAAGAGAGCUAGGUGUUUAGCUCUUGAUUAAGCUUUGGCGUUUAUAAGUUUAAGGUCACAACCCUUUUAUUAAUUCUUUCUCUUUGAGUUAGUGAAUUGGAAGACUCUGUUCUUCCCCCAGACGUACCUUCACGGGAACUGGGUAAACAAACUUGCUGUGUCUUAUCUCCUACAUACAAACAAACAGAACACAAGUUAGUAUUGAGGUUAAUCGAUCAAGUAACAUAGCUAAACGAAUUCUAGCUAAAGGAACGAAGGUUUAACAUAGUAAAUCGACGUUUAAACCUUACAAGUGGUAUCAGAGCUCUCAGGUUAGGUUUAUAAAAGAACGGUUUCAGCGGUCUCAGCUGCGUUCUGGUGGUUAUUAAACCUAGACUUUAGCUGGUGUUGAUUUCACGAUUGUUAGUGAGAUCAUGAAGAAGUCUAAAGUCAAAAUUGAGGUGGAAAAGUUUGAUGGAAAAGGAGAUUUUGGAAUGUGGAAAUUCAAGAUGCAGAUGCAACUUGAGAAUGCUGAUCUUGACAGUGUGCUUAAUGAAGAAGACACUAGUUCUACAUCAGAGAAAGACAAGGAUGGUGAUAAGGAGACUAAACCCGGUACAGGGGUUCUUACUCGGAAAGAGAUGGACAAGCGUGCUAAAAACAUGAUUUGUGCUAGUCUUGGAAAUCUGGUGCUACGAAAGGUUAUGAAACAGACUACUGCACUAGGGGUAUGGAAAGCACUAGAAAAGGACUACCAAACUAAGACAUUACCUAACAGAAUCUACUUAAAACAACGGUUCGCUAGUUUCAAGAUGGAAGAGCAUCGAAGUAUAGAAGAAAACCUCGAUGGUUUCUUGAGGUUGGUAGAUGAUCUGGAAAGCUUGAACAUCACAAUCAGCGAUGAAGAUCAAGCAAUACAGGUUCUGUCAAGCUUGCCCAAGCAGUUUGAUUCUUUAGUACAUACUCUCAAGUACGGGAACGGCAAAGAAACUCUGACACUGCAAGAAGUUACCUC